This 492-nucleotide small RNA is filed under the name Pan troglodytes (chimpanzee). Its description in RNAcentral is "retained intron". The record is from RNAcentral. Lineage: Eukaryota; Metazoa; Chordata; Mammalia; Primates; Hominidae.
CCGGGCGUUCGCAGGGGAGGAUUUUCCUUGCUGCUGCUUAACUUGGAGGAGUACUACUUUGAACAGCAUAGAGCCAAUCACAUUUUGCACAAGGGCAGUCACCAUGAAAGGAAAAUCAGAGGCUCCUUAAAAAUAUGUUCAAAAUCGGUGAUUUUUGAACCAGAUUCAAUAUCCCAGCCCAUCAUCAAGAUUCCUUUGAGAGACUGUAUAAAAAUAGGAAAGCAUGGAGAAAAUGGAGCCAAUAGACACUUCACAAAGUAUGUCAUUUUCACCACUGUUUAAUUUUACUUCAACCAAAAAGCUGUAUAUAUUUAAUGACUUUUAUCUGUAUUUUAGGGCAAAAUCUGGGGGUAUUUCACUCAUUUUCAGUCAGGUAUAUUUCAUUAAAGAACAUAAUGUUGUUGCACCAUAUAAAAUAGAAAGGGUAAGUAAAGCUUUUCAUGUAUUUCCAGCAAUUUAUAUAGUCAUUUUGAACAAUAAAAUUUUGUGACU